UUCUUGUUCCCAUUGCUGUUCAACGCAGAGAGGGAGCCGGCAUCAGAGACACUGGGAGCUGGGGACUGACAGUACAGGAGACCGGAGCGGGGGCAGGAGGAGCACAUGCCCUCGAAGACCUUGGGUGCGAGUAUCUGGUCACCAGACUUUUCUAGUGAUUUCCAUAACCCACCUGGACAAGCUGGUUGCAGUGAAUACGGUCUCUUCCCAAGCUGCCUGGAAUUGCUUUUCUUUUGCUGCUCCGUGUUCUAAAAUGUUCAGUGUCUUGCUCUGGCUCUUCUUGAGUCAUGUACGGCCAAAAGACCUGGUCCCCUGUUCAAGCAGCAGUAAUACCUCCCGGCCCCACAAAUUCCCAAGGAUGUUGCUCCUAAAUUCCACUUAUUUCUUUUUUUCCUGUUCUUUUCUUUUUAUCUCUUUUUUUCUGCAAGAAAUUAUUGUAUCUCUCUCUAUCUCAUAUAUAGUUCACUCUUUACAGUACAAAGUGUUAAAAUGUCAAACAAAAAUAAAUAUCAAUGUUACAGUAGCUAGAAUAUUCAAUAAAAUAGAUCCCUGCCAUUCUUGAUUGAAA
Molecule: non-coding RNA, 568 nt
Organism: Saimiri boliviensis boliviensis (Bolivian squirrel monkey)
Lineage: Eukaryota; Metazoa; Chordata; Mammalia; Primates; Cebidae
Source: RefSeq, a predicted model, not a curated record